GGUCCGUUCGUCUAGUGGUUAGGACGCCGGGUUUUCAUCCCGGUAACAGGGGUUCGACUCCCCUACGGACUG
Molecule: transfer RNA, 72 nt
Filed under: Chlorobiota bacterium
Lineage: Bacteria; Pseudomonadati; Chlorobiota
Description: Chlorobi bacterium (hydrothermal vent metagenome) tRNA-Glu
Rfam family: tRNA
About the family: Transfer RNA (tRNA) molecules are approximately 80 nucleotides in length. Their secondary structure includes four short double-helical elements and three loops (D, anti-codon, and T loops).
Source: RNAcentral